UGGGGAAUCUUGGACAAUGGGCGAAAGCCUGAUCCAGCCAUGCCGCGUGAGUGACGAAGGUCUUCGGAUUGUAAAGCUCUUUUGGCGGGGACGAUAAUGACGGUACCCGCAGAAUAAGCCCCGGCUAACUUCGUGCCAGCAGCCGCGGUAAUACGAAGGGGGCUAGCGUUGUUCGGAAUUACUGGGCGUAAAGCGCACGUAGGCGGAUUUGUAAGUCAGGGGUGAAAUCCCGGGGCUCAACCUCGGAACUGCCCUUGAUACUGCAAAUCUCGAGUCCGAUAGAGGUGGGUGGAAUUCCUAGUGUAGAGGUGAAAUUCGUAGAUAUUAGGAAGAACACCAGUGGCGAAGGCGGCUCACUGGAUCGGUACUGACGCUGAGGUGCGAAAGCGUGGGGAGCAAACAGGAUUAGAUACCCAGGUAGUCCCUGAGCGGGCUGGCAAGGCGCAU
RNAcentral lists this ribosomal RNA (447 nucleotides) under uncultured bacterium. RNAcentral's name for it is "bacterial SSU rRNA". It matches the Rfam family "Bacterial small subunit ribosomal RNA", at positions 355 to 825 of the family's 1533-position model. The record is from RNAcentral.